ACCUCUUGAAGACCCUCUUUGAACACUUAAGCUUCUCCUUCCAAGAGAUCAACUCCUCCCCUCCUUGCUAGACCAAGUCAGCUCCACUCCCUUGCACACUUUGAAACUUCGAUCUCUCGCCAAGAGUCUCUCACUCUCCCCAGAACUUCCAAAUCUGAUUUGGAAUUAAAGAAAAUGCCCCAGGCAAGUAAGGACCCAAUCAUAUUACUGCGUUACUGCUCAAGCUGGGAUUCCAGAAGUGUUCUGUUGAAUUUGGUGUAUAUGUGAGUACUGCUAGGCUGCAGAAUAAGCUGCUGAUUUGUCUAUAUGUAGAUGACCUCCUUGUGACUGGGGAUUUUGAAGAAGAAAUUGAAGAGUUCAAGAAGAGAAUGAAAGAUGAGUAUGAUAUGACCGAUUUAGGCAAGCUGAACUACUUUCUCGGGUUGGAGUUUAUUGAAACAGCGAGUGGGGAGUACUUCUACACCAAAGAAGGUAUAUUAAUGAAGUUUUGAAACGCUUUAACAUGAAAGACUGCAACAGUGCACCAAUUCCUGUCAUUGCAAAUUUGAAGCUGACAGAACAACUUGAUGAAAACCGUGUGGAUGCCUCAUUGUACAAGCAGAUUGUAGGGUGAUAGGUUUCUGGUCAAGAAACCGUAUCUUCCACUCACUCAACACACUAACAGAGUAAAGAAAACUGAUGAAUAACCUCGGGUUUAUUGCUCAACAAGAAAGAAUACAAGAAAGGGAACAACAAGGGAGCCUAAUCUCCCUCCAACAAGACUCAAAGUCUGUUCAGAACAUACAAACUGUCAAAAAGUCCCCCUCCAAUACUCAACUCACCUAUUUAUACAAACUAACAUUCCCGCCACUCCUAACUGUUAACACAGUUAGGCCAACUAACCAACUAACUGCCUCUAACUGUUUAAUCACAGUUAUCUAACCUCUCCUCUUCCUUACAUACACCUUCAACUUCCUAUCAUAGGGUCUGAGGUAUAUCUGCAACAGCAGGCCAGAUAUAAGCUAUGGUGUUGGACUGUUGAGCAGGUUUAUGAAUGAACCUAGGCUAUCACACAUGACAGCUGCCAAACAUGUCUUGAGGUACUUGAAGGGAACAGCUCAUUUUGGCCUUUUGUUUUCGAAAAUGUCAAGCAGCGUGGAGGGCACCUUGGAGGUUUGGAGUGACUCUGACUGGUGUAAAGAUAAGGUUGAUAGAAGAAGUACUUUUGGCUAUUUCAUUAAGUACACGGGAGCACCUAUUUCCUGGUGUUCGAAAAAACAAAGUGUGGUGGCACUCUCAUCUUUUGAAGCAGAAUGCAUAGCUUCUGCGGAGACAGAUUGUCAGUGCGUAUGGCUGGAGGAACUUCUUGGUGAUCUAAGGCUUGAGUGUAGAAAGCCAAUACAACUCUUGGUAGACAACAAAUCUGCCAUUAGCUUGUCAAAAAACCCAGUGUUUCACGGAAGAAGCAAACACAUUGAGACAAAAUUAAGUCAUUGUUCAACUGAGAAUCAAGUAGCUGAUGUUUUUACAAAGGCUUUGAGGCAGAACAAGUUUGAAAGAUUGAGAGAGUUACUGAAUGUUAUACCUAUAGAUAGUUUGGUUUAAGGGGGUGUGUUGUUGUAAACCCAAACUACCAUAACUGUCAUUCUGACAGUUAGAUCAUUUACUUACUCUGCUACAUACAUUUCUGUAUUUCAUUCAUUCUUUGGUUAAUGAGAAAAAGUCUCAGUUUCUCUACCUCUCUUACUCUCUGCAUAAUUCCCUCCUCUGCAUAACUUUCACUUAGCACGUUGGCUAACAAAAUACACUCCAAAAACAUUGAUGUUGCAGCUGAAAUCACAGUUGCAUACCGCUUUUCAAAACCUUGGGUAGGAGCAUAUAUGAAAAAGAAACACAUUACGUUGAUUGAAAUAUGCGAUCGGAGUGUUAAAGGAUGAUUAACAAAUCAUAACGGGAUCAUAAAUUCUCAAAUACUUACUGUUGGUGCCAAAUUGCCCAGGCUUCCUGUAGAAGAGUGAAAAAACAGAAUUGAAGGUACGGUUAUGCCUCCAGAUAAUGACCCUUGUAUGCUACUAAUAACUCCUCUGCAUUUUCCCUGAACUGUGAUAUAUACUUGUCCAAAAACAUUUCCUCAGACAAGCACAACACAUGAAUAUAACUGGGGACUUUCUUGCAGAGAUUUUUUGAUUUCAACAGCUGGAAGACUUUAUAUCGAGGAAGCACGCGAUCCUCCAUGCUGUACAUUAAAAUAUGAGGCCGGUGAAUAAGGACUGACUUAGGCAACAUAACUGUGUGCAAGAAGAAUUUCAUUCCAAAUUUCAACUUCAUCUCCGAUGUUCUGAACAAAGUCGGGGUUCUCUUCAACAUUUGUAGGCCCUCAUCGUUGGAAAACCCAAAGCUAUUAAUUAGUUUCAGCUUUCUCUCAAAUGUUUUAUCGCUCAAACAACUUAAUGUAUGAAUUGCAUGGACAAGCAUUCUUGAAUUUUCACGGAAACCCAAGUCUACAGCCCGAGAAACACGGUUUUGAAUAGUGGACUGCUGUGCAAUGAAAAGCCUUGGUUGAAGUUUGAGUAGCAAUGCAAGAUGAGUCCCAAGAAUGCCACACCUCUCCAAGAAGACGGCAUUAUCCAUAAACCUUUUGUACUUUGGGAGUAUCCAGCCACAUCUGUGCAACACAAAAAUAAAAUCUUUCUGGUCGCACAGAAUUUUCCUAAUAGCUUCAACUGAGGGGACCAAUGUUUUCUUCAAGCUAUGAGUCAAAAUGGAGGGAUGCUUUGAAAUGAAGCUGCAUAACUCGGGACCCUGGAAUCCAGACAUCUGAAAGAACUCAAUUUUGGAUCUUAAGAUUUUGUCAACGUCUGUAAACAGUAUCUGGGGUCUUUGACGAAUCAAGGAGAGAAUCUGGCUUUGCGAAAAGCCUAUUUGUUUGAAGAAAGUGAGCACUGAUAAGGGGUUUUGAGGGAAUUUGCCCCGUGAAACACGUUUUGAGAUAUAAAGGGAUUGGGUUUUGGAGAACUGGAAGUUGGAAUUUAGGUAAUCAACCAUUGAAGUGGUUUCGUUGAAGUGUAGGAAACGGCAUUUAGUUGAGAAAGAGAGGAAGGAUGUCAGAGACUGAGAAGAAGAGAAUUGAUUGAAAAGUGAAAAUAAAAGAGCAGGGUGUGACUUUAGAGAUUGCAUUAGUUUAGAGAACGAGAAUGAAUGAAUGAAUGUUUUAUUUGGCGUCAACGAACAAACAAACUAUUUCUUAGGUUGUCUAUUUCGAAUUUCCAGCCACCAAAACGUUGUCUGUCUCCUAAAUUACCAAGUUUUCCAAGUUUAUGCGAGGACGAGAGCCUUGUUUGAUUGAGAGGAGACGAAGGAACAAGCAACAAAACCCUAAGUUCAGCUCUGCACCCAAAGAACCGUCAGUCAUGGAUGAGUGGUGCAUUUCUUUCUCUCUAUCAACCCACCCUAGCGACAAAUGCUCAACCUCAUGUUUAUCAAACCUUGCCCACUUCAGUCUAGGGUUUUCCAAAAUGAAGCGAAAAGAAAACGAAAAAUACACAAAAGAAGACAAAAGAAGAAAGGAGGAAGAAGCACCGCCCACCGUCCGAUCACCCGAACCUUCCGAUUAAGUCGCACCGCCCACCGUCCGAUCACCUGAACCUUCCGAUUAAGUCGCACCGCCCAAUUUCUCGCGUUCUCUUUGGUGCCACCCUUGCCCUACCACGAAGCCAUCCUUCGUGUAUUUGGUGAGAUGAAUGUCUACCCCUGUUGCCUGCCUUGACAGACUGUAAGAAUACGUUUCCACAUCUUCACAAUAUUUUAAGAAAUUAUUAAUUAUAAUUUUUAUUUUAUGAUUUUUAUUUUUCAAUGUAGCGCCUGUCUGUAGCAGCAUUUUAAACGCAUAUUUAUGUGUAUAUUUUCAUGUCAAACCAACAAAAACUGAAAAAAGAAAAAGGUACCUAGUAAAUAAUUAUUUGAUAUAUUUUUUUUUAAUAAUAAUAG
This 3966-nucleotide long non-coding RNA is filed under the name Vigna radiata. RNAcentral describes it as "long non-coding RNA (VRAD_LNC002825)". Lineage: Eukaryota; Viridiplantae; Streptophyta; Magnoliopsida; Fabales; Fabaceae. The record is from RNAcentral.